RNAcentral lists this ribosomal RNA (388 nucleotides) under uncultured eukaryote. RNAcentral describes it as "SSU rRNA". It matches the Rfam family "Eukaryotic small subunit ribosomal RNA", at positions 587 to 972 of the family's 1831-position model. The record is from RNAcentral.
AGCUCCAAUAGCGUAUAUUAAAGUUGUUGCAGUUAAAAGCUCGUAGUUGGACUUCUGGCACGCUGCGCCUGGCCCGCCCGCGUUAGCGGUGUGAGUGCCGGUUGCGCGGUUGCCAUCCUUCUAGAAAACAGGCCUGCCCUUCACUGGGUGGGGUCUGCGAUCUAGAUCGUUUACUUUGAAAAAUUAGAGUGUUUAAAGCAGGCAAUUGCUGUGAAUACAUUAGCAUGGAAUAAUGAUAUAGGACUUUGGUUCUAUUUUGUUGGUUUCUAGGACUAAAGUAAUGAUUGAUAGGGAUAGUUGGGGGUGCUAGUAUUGAGCGGCCAGAGGUGAAAUUCUUGGAUUCGCUCAAGACUAACUUAUGCGAAAGCAUUCACCAAGGAUGUCUUCU